CGUGCUUUGUCGAGUUGCCGGUAUUGGCAUUAUUUCUUUCUCUUUUGUUUCUUUUGGCUUGUUGUGCUCCUCGACACAUCGUUUGCUCUAUAAUCAGUGUUGGUUGCUUUGUAAUACAACGCGAGGGAAAACCCUUUUUCGGUAAAAGGGCAAUGUUCAUACGUUGGGAGGAGAUGACCCCAAGGCCACCAUGGUCCUCGGGUUUACAGAUCUCCGUGCAUUUAACCAUAUGGUAUUUGGUUAACUGGAUUCAUGCCACUAUAACAUUCAUGCCACUAUAACUUUCACGAGUUGGACAAAUGCCAUUACAAAAAUUAAAAUUGAAAACAUGCCACUACAACUUUUACAUACUUCUACAUAUGCCAUUUUCAACAAUACCCAGCCAUAUACUACCCAUAUAUGCUUGUAAAUACCUUUAUAUGUCCAGAGCUCCGAGUACUUGUCGCCUCUAUCCGCCAGGUGUCGACAUCGUGCUGCCUGUCCGCUCCCCAUCGUUGGCCCCGACCUACUUGAGCUCCAGCUGCAUCUCCUCCCCAUAGAAGCUCCGACCCCGACGAGCUUGCCGUCUCUUCCCGUCGCGUUCGUGGUCCCCGACGAGCUUGCCACCAUGGUGCCGCACUCCACCACCUGGGAGGAGCUCGUUCACCAUGUUGCAUCCGCCUCUUGGCUGCGCCCAAGUCCCCAGCCCCGUCGCGUUCUUCGCACCUCUACGACCUCCAGCCGUUGAAGCUCGCAUGCGUGUGUUAUGUUUCCGGUCGGCGGCAGAAUUGAUUGGCCAAGGCUGAUGUGUAUACGUGUGAAGGACAAAAUCAAUUUGUGUAUGUGCGCAUCUUGCCGAUGCUAGCUGCUUCCAGGUUUGAUCAGGAGCGGAACGACAGAAGUCAGCUUGCUAGUUGUGUACUCCGGAAGUACUCGAUGGAGUGACAUAAAUCUAAUUUUUCAAUGUAAUAGUUGAAUGAGCACAUGGAUAGUAUGCCCAGUAUUGAAAUACACGUUAAAAUACAAGUCUUUUCUAAGGUGUUUAUCUAUUAAGUAAAGAAAAUGGCAUAUGCAGAGCUAUGAAAAAGUUGUGGUGGCAUAUUUCCAACUUCAGUUUUUGUAAUGGCAUUUUUCCAUGUCCU
RNAcentral lists this long non-coding RNA (1121 nucleotides) under Hordeum vulgare. RNAcentral describes it as "long non-coding RNA (HVUL_LNC000931)". Lineage: Eukaryota; Viridiplantae; Streptophyta; Magnoliopsida; Poales; Poaceae. The record is from RNAcentral.